Molecule: long non-coding RNA, 2465 nt
Organism: Antechinus flavipes (yellow-footed antechinus)
Lineage: Eukaryota; Metazoa; Chordata; Mammalia; Dasyuromorphia; Dasyuridae
Exons: 2
Source: RefSeq, a predicted model, not a curated record
UUAAGCCUCCCUCUAAACAGUUUCCCUCUUAUUCUUGCUUCCUCUAUCUCAGGGUUAAGAAAAUUCCAAAGCCUGUGUUUUUUCAGAGGAUGAUCACAGGAUUUGGCCACAUCCUGGGUAUUCGCCUGAUUUAAGAGAAAGCCUGAGUUUCUUUUUCCUAGAAUAGGAACCUUCCCUAACCAGACUAGCUAGUAACCACUGACAUUUCACCACCUUGAGCUCUCAUUGGCUGGGUCAGAUGCAUGAGGACAAAUUCAUGAUCAAACAAACACUUUGUAAAAUUAGGAAAUCCUCUUUCUCCACUCCUGGAUCUCAACUCUGUUUGCUUUAAGAGCAAAAGAAAGAAGAGAAAACUGGGAUUUUGUUCCCUUUCUUCCACUUCGCUGAUAAAAGAGUCAGGUCACAUCAGUCCUAAGUUUUCUCCUCUGUCAGAAAUGUAUUUUGAUGAUUUGUAAUUAGAUUGUGCAUACAUGUAUGAAGACAUUAUUAUUCUAUUAAGUGAUUUCUAAUUUCCUUCCAUCUCCCUCCUUUCUCUGCUACCCUCAUUUCCAAGGGCAGUUGCCAACUAUUUCCCUAGCUUUUAUGAGUCUGGAACCCCUAUGGCUUUGCCCAAAGUGAGCAUCGGGGGUGAGACCAGAUGCUGACUUCUUGUAAGUAGUCUGUCUAUUUAGAGUUUCACAACCUUCCCAUCUAUUUCCUAGGAAAUCUGAAUGUAAGGAAUAUAAUAGUCUCUGUGAGACAGCUAAAUGAAGAAGCUCCAAGGACGCUGACACAGAAGUGGAAAUUCCUGUCAGUAUUAGACCAGUAUAACUGUCCAAAGCUCUUUCUUAUAGUGCCAAAUUAGAUAAAUAUUAUCUGACCUUCAGUUAUCCAGGAGCACGAAUCAACACCAAGCUCCUUGAUCCCUGCCCCCAAUGCCUGGUCCUGUGAGACUCAGAGGACUCUUAAAAACUCACCAGACUUCACUAGUUUUGGAGUGAGUAUUCCAUUCCCUCUGGGACUCCACUACAGUACAGCUAAGAGCCCAGCAGCCAUGUUUCCACUAUUCUUCUGACUUACCUUUAUCAUGUGAUUCUUUUUCCCUCAGAAUUACUAUAAUAUUUUGGGGGUUGUUUCAUUGCUGUAGGCCCUUAGGAUUCUGGCUCUCUAAAUCUAAGCCACGAUACUGGCAGGAAAGUAAUCCCUGGAGGGAUGGGGCAAGUCAACCAAGACCUCAAAUUCACCAUGAAUGGAGGUCAGGGAGGAGGAAAGAAUGUCCAUUUCAGUCCACAAUGAACUGUCUUUGAUGGAGCCGCUUGUCUUCUCAGUCCUCUUUAUCUUGUUUCAUCCUUUUCUGACCCUAAACUCCUCACGGUUUUCAGGCUUCCCACUGCCUCCUGUACCACCUGUCCAGUGACUGUCACUAUAUCCUGGAUUUAUCAGAGAACUGCAUGGAGAGAAAAUGCCAGAGAAAAGAAUACGUGUCCUGCCAGGAAAUCAUUAUAUACUUCAACAACAACAUUUUAUGAUGAUCAGUUCUGAUGGACGUGGCCCUCUUCAACAAUGAGAUGAACCAAAUCAGUUCCAAUAGAGCAGUAAUGAACUGAACCAGCUACUCCCAGCAAAAGAACUCUGGGAAAUGAGUAUGAACCACUUCAUAGAAUUCCCAAUCCCUCUAUUUUUGUCUGCCUGCAUUUUUUAUUUCCUUCAUAGGUUAAUUGUACACUAUUUCAAAGUCCGAUUCUUUUUGUACAGCAAAAUAACUGUAUGACAUGUAUACAUAUAUUGUAUUUAACUUAGACUUUAACAUAUUUAAUAUGUAUUGGUCAACCUGCCAUCUGGGGGAGGGGGAGGAAGGAGGGGAAAAAUUGGAACAAAAGGUUUGGCAAUUGUCAAUGCUGAAAAAUUACCUAUGCAUAUAUCUUGUAAAUAAAAAGCAAAAUAAAUAAAUAAAUAAAUAAGUACACCCACAAUUUUGCUCAAAAAAAAAAAAAAAAAAAAAGAAUAUGUGUCCUGGAGACCUCCAUGAACUGAUGCCAAGUGAAUUAAACAGAACCAGGAGAUCAUUAUACAUGGCAACCACAAGACUAUACGACAAUUAAUUCUGAUGGACGUGGCUCUCUUCAAAAGUGAAAUGAUUCAAACUAGUUCUAUUUGCUCAGUGAUGAAGAGAGCCAUCUACGCCCAGAGAGAACUGUGAGAAUUGAGUUGGAACACAACAUUGCAUUCUCUCUCUCUGUUAUUUACUUGCAUUUUGUUUUCUCAAUUUUUAUUUUUCUUCCUUUUUGAUCUGAUUUUUCUUGUGCAACAAGCUAACUGUAUAAAUAUGUAUACAUAUAUUGCAUGUACUGGACUACCUGCCAGCUAGGGAAGGGGGUGGAGGGAAAGAGGGGAAAAUUUGGAACACACGGCUUUGCAAGGGUCAAUGUUGGAAAAAUUAUCCAUGCAUGUGUUUUGUAAAUAAAAAGCUUUAAUUAAAAAAAAAA